GAAACCGAGUCUUAAUUGGGCGUUAAGUUGCAGGGUAUAGACCCGAAACCCGGUGAUCUAGCCAUGGGCAGGUUGAAGGUUGGGUAACACUAACUGGAGGACCGAACCGACUAAUGUUGAAAAAUUAGCGGAUGACCUGUGGCUGGGGGUGAAAGGCCAAUCAAACCGGGAGAUAGCUGGUUCUCCCCGAAAGCUAUUUAGGUAGCGCCUCGUGAAUUCAUCUCCGGGGGUAGAGCACUGUUUCGGCUAGGGGGCCAUCCCGGCUUACCAACCCGAUGCAAACUGCGAAUACCGGAGAAUGUUAUCACGGGAGACACACGGCGGGUGCUAACGUCCGUCGUGAAGAGGGAAACAACCCAGACCGCCAGCUAAGGUCCCAAAGUCAUGGUUAAGUGGGAAACGAUGUGGGAAGGCCCAGACAGCCAGGAUGUUGGCUUAGAAGCAGCCAUCAUUUAAAGAAAGCGUAAUAGCUCACUGGUCGAGUCGGCCUGCGCGGAAGAUGUAACGGGGCUAAACCAUGCACCGAAGCUGCGGCAGCGACGCUUAUGCGUUGUUGGGUAGGGGAGCGUUCUGUAAGCCUGUGAAGGUGUGUCGUGAGGCAUGCUGGAGGUAUCAGAAGUGCGAAUGCUGACAUAAGUAACGAUAAAGCGGGUGAAAAGCCCGCUCGCCGGAAGACCAAGGGUUCCUGUCCAACGUUAAUCGGGGCAGGGUGAGUCGACCCCUAAGGCGAGGCCGAAAGGCGUAGUCGAUGGGAAACGGGUUAAUAUUCCCGUACUUGGUGUUACUGCGAAGGGGGGACGGAGAAGGCUAUGUUGGCCGGGCGACGGUUGUCCCGGUUUAAGCGUGUAGGUGUGUGUUCCAGGUAAAUCCGGUUCACUUUAACACUGAGGCGUGAUGACGAGGCACUACGGUGCUGAAGUAACAAAUGCCCUGCUUCCAGGAAAAGCCUCUAAGCAUCAGGUAACAUCAAAUCGUACCCCAAACCGACACAGGUGGUCAGGUAGAGAAUACCAAGGCGCUUGAGAGAACUCGGGUGAAGGAACUAGGCAAAAUGGUGCCGUAACUUCGGGAGAAGGCACGCUGACACGUAGGUGAAGUGAUUUACUCAUGGAGCUGAAGUCAGUCGAAGAUACCAGCUGGCUGCAACUGUUUAUUAAAAACACAGCACUGUGCAAACACGAAAGUGGACGUAUACGGUGUGACGCCUGCCCGGUGCCGGAAGGUUAAUUGAUGGGGUCAGCGCAAGCGAAGCUCCUGAUCGAAGCCCCGGUAAACGGCGGCCGUAACUAUAACGGUCCUAAGGUAGCGAAAUUCCUUGUCGGGUAAGUUCCGACCUGCACGAAUGGCGUAAUGAUGGCCAGGCUGUCUCCACCCGAGACUCAGUGAAAUUGAACUCGCUGUGAAGAUGCAGUGUACCCGCGGCAAGACGGAAAGACCCCGUGAACCUUUACUAUAGCUUGACACUGAACAUUGAGCCUUGAUGUGUAGGAUAGGUGGGAGGCUUUG
RNAcentral lists this ribosomal RNA (1506 nucleotides) under Salmonella enterica subsp. enterica serovar Dublin. RNAcentral describes it as "partial 23S ribosomal RNA". It matches the Rfam family "Bacterial large subunit ribosomal RNA", at positions 673 to 2159 of the family's 2925-position model. Lineage: Bacteria; Pseudomonadati; Pseudomonadota; Gammaproteobacteria; Enterobacterales; Enterobacteriaceae. The record is from RNAcentral.